RNAcentral lists this ribosomal RNA (352 nucleotides) under uncultured bacterium. Its description in RNAcentral is "bacterial SSU rRNA". It matches the Rfam family "Bacterial small subunit ribosomal RNA", at positions 104 to 490 of the family's 1533-position model. The record is from RNAcentral.
GGGUGAGUAACAUGUGGGUAUCUUCCCUUUGGUGAGGAAUAACACGAGGGAACUUGUGCUAAUACCUCAUAAGUCUUUACGGAGAAAGCUUUAUGCGCCAAUGGAUGAGCCCGCACUUGAUUAGUUAGUUGGUGAGGUAAUGGCUCACCAAGACUUUGAUCAAUAGCUGAUUUGAGAGGAUGAUCAGCCACAUUGGGACUGAGACACGGCCCAAACUCCUACGGGAGGCAGCAGUAGGGAAUCUUGCACAAUGGGGGAAACCCUGAUGCAGCGAUGCCGCGUGAGUGAAGAAGGCCUUUGGGUUGUAAAGCUCUUUCGUCGGGGAAGAAAAUGACUGUACCCGAAUAAGAAG